Molecule: long non-coding RNA, 282 nt
Filed under: Nicotiana benthamiana
Lineage: Eukaryota; Viridiplantae; Streptophyta; Magnoliopsida; Solanales; Solanaceae
Description: long non-coding RNA (NBEN_LNC037402)
Source: RNAcentral
UUGACACAACUCUCCUUUGUAAUACUUGUAAACUCAAGAAUAUAGUGUUUGUACUAAAAAUUAAAGAGACUUAGAAGAUGAUAUUUGUAGUUGCGUAGCUCUGCUUAUUGAAACUGACAGUCUUCUAAUAUAAGAGUUUGAGGACCGUUACAGAUUGAUCUUGAUUGAGCCAUUGAAUCCUCUAAGAGAUUUGACCCAAGGGGUACCUCUGAAUCCUACAUUAGAAUUGGCUUGGAUUCGUUUAUGUCCUUCCUUUCUAUAUCCUCAUUUCACAGAGUGAUU